Trachymyrmex cornetzi is the source of this 1432-nucleotide long non-coding RNA. RefSeq lists it as uncharacterized. NCBI's taxonomy places the organism in Eukaryota, Metazoa, Arthropoda, Insecta, Hymenoptera, Formicidae. The transcript is spliced from 5 exons. The record is from RefSeq and is a predicted model, not a curated record.
AUUCAAUUAUCAAUAUUACGGCAAACAUUUUAGUCGCUAUCGCAUGAACUUUGUUUCUUAUAAUAAAACUAUUGUUUCGUAUACUUCAAGAUCUUGAGAAAAAUUUAAGGUUCUUCUUAGAAUGUAAAUCUUCCGAGACCAGAGCAAAUCAUAUUCCUCUUGUACUAUCUAUUUUUCAACGUUGAUACCAAUUUUAUUUGUAAAGUACAAAAUAUUACAAAACAAAAGUAAUCAUCGAAAAAAGGAGUGAAUACGAAGCUGCUCCAUAUUCCGAGCUGUGAAGGCAUUGCUAUUGUUCACGAUGAACCAGCCAGGAAGAAGAAUAAAAUUGUAGGAGCAUUACCAUCAUUGAUGUUACGUUAAUGAGGAGACUCGUAUUAUUUAUCAAACACAUAACGAUCUUUUAAUGGAUUUCUGACAAAAGAGAUUGCCGUUUGCCAAGCAUUCUUCAGACAUUAUCCGAAUCCUUAUGCGACUCACGUUUUAUCGGAGAAUAUCCUGUAUCGAGAAGUUGGCGGCACAAAUCUCUUCAGGACAAGUAUUUUUUGCAAGAGUUACCGCUUCGUUACCAAACCGGACUCGGAAACUAACGAACGUAGUUUUUCCAACAAUCUUUCGUGUGGACAGAUGUUGGCAGAACUAUUAGACUACGUUUCGCACUUCUAACGUCAGGAUCCAAGAUAAUUGACACAAAUAUUAGGAACCUUGCAACUAAUAAUAUGUACAUUUUUUAAUUUGCAAGGUAUAAGAUAUAACUUUCUUUGAUCUCUUGAUCGAUCGGUGCUUUUAUCGCUGCCGCAUCAAGCAUCUAUCUCAAGCAACAAAAAUACAUUUGAAGAGAGACUAUUUGCAAUAAAUUUUAAUAAUUUUUGAGCGAAUUUAGGUACUGAUCCUCAUGAAAAGCAUUGUCGAUUUCAUCGCGAUAGACUAGUCUCGUUAACUGGGAACUCGCCGAUCACAGAAAAUUAGUAGUCACCACGGAAACGACCGAAUAUAUAUCCAACCGCGACGAUCCUGAUAAAACUCUGAUGACUCAUCGUACCAGCGUCCAAUCGCCUUUCAAUUGCGAUCUCCUGGGUCGAAUAAUCAGGGGAGCCUGUCACGCACGAACAGUUAAGAACAGUACAGAUAAAGAAGGAAAAAAAGAAGAGGGAAAAAGCAUUGCAUCUUGCACUUGUCUUGAAAGCAGUCAAAACUAAUCGUCGAUAUCUAAAAGUUAUAAACGAGUGAAUUACAAGACAAUUUUGCUGCGUAAAGAUUUCUUUAUGUGCUCGCGCAACAAAAUGAAAGAUUUUCAAGAAAGCCAAGAAUCGCCAUCGAUUGACUUCAUAAUGCAACUAAUUUCGUCAAUAAAUUACGCGACUACAUGAUAAACAGUUGCAAACUUUGAACUUACUAUGUAUUUCUACCGAAACAUAAUUUUACAAUAUUU